UACCAGCUCGCCGAGUGGUAGGGAUGAUUAUUGGGCCUAAAGCGUCCGUAGCUGGCCUUUCAAGUCUCUUGUUAAAUCCAACGAUUCAAUCGUUGGACUGCAGGAGAUACUGCAAGGCUAGGAGGCGAGAGAAGCCGACGGUAUUUUCGGGGUAGGGGUAAAAUCCUAUAAUCCCGAGAAGACCACCAGUGGCGAAGGCGGUCGGCUAGCGCGCGCUCGACAGUGAGGGACGAAAGCUGGGGGAGCGAACCGGAUUAGAUACCCGGGUAGUCCCAGCUGUAAACGAUGCUGGCUAGGUGUUGAAGCGGCCACGAGCCGCUUCAGUGCCGCAGGAAAGCCAUUAAGCCAGCCGCCUGGGGAGUACGGCCGCAAGGCUGAAACUUAAAUGAAUUGACGG
This 397-nucleotide ribosomal RNA is filed under the name uncultured archaeon. Its description in RNAcentral is "bacterial SSU rRNA". It matches the Rfam family "Archaeal small subunit ribosomal RNA", at positions 474 to 871 of the family's 1478-position model. The record is from RNAcentral.